RNAcentral lists this ribosomal RNA (371 nucleotides) under uncultured organism. RNAcentral describes it as "partial 16S ribosomal RNA". It matches the Rfam family "Bacterial small subunit ribosomal RNA", at positions 527 to 896 of the family's 1533-position model. The record is from RNAcentral.
GUAGGUGGCAAGCGUUGUCCGGAAUUAUUGGGCGUAAAGCGCGCGCAGGCGGUUCUUUAAGUCUGAUGAGAAAGCCCACGGCUCAACCGUGGAGGGUCAUUGGAAACUGGAGAACUUGAGUACAGAAGAGGAAAGCGGAAUUCCACGUGCAGCGGUGAAAUGCGUAGAGAUGUGGAGGAACACCAGUGGCGAAGGCGGCUUUCUGGUCUGUAACUGACGCUGAGGCGCGAAAGCGUGGGGGAGCAAACAGGAUUAGAUACCCUGGUAGUCCACGCCGUAAACGAUGAGUGCUAAGUGUUAGGGGGUUUCCGCCCCUUAGUGCUGCAGCUAACGCAUUAAGCACUCCGCCUGGGAGUACGGCCGCAAGGCUG